AAUUAAUUAAUGCCGGGUUAAUUAAUUAAUGCCUCAAGGGAAUAUGGUAUCCCUUGAGGCAUUAAUAUUAACA
This 73-nucleotide transfer RNA is filed under the name Trypanosoma vivax Y486. Lineage: Eukaryota; Euglenozoa; Kinetoplastea; Trypanosomatida; Trypanosomatidae. The record is from RNAcentral.